This 253-nucleotide ribosomal RNA is filed under the name uncultured bacterium. RNAcentral's name for it is "partial 16S ribosomal RNA". It matches the Rfam family "Bacterial small subunit ribosomal RNA", at positions 524 to 776 of the family's 1533-position model. The record is from RNAcentral.
UACGAAGGGGGCGAGCGUUGUUCGGAAUUACUGGGCGUAAAGGGCGCGUAGGCGGCGAUCCGAGUCAGAUGUGAAAGUCCUGGGCUUAACCUGGGGACUGCAUUUGAUACUGGAUUGCUUGAAUUCGGGAGAGGAUAGCGGAAUUCCCAGUGUAGAGGUGAAAUUCGUAGAUAUUGGGAAGAACACCGGUGGCGAAGGCGGCUAUCUGGACCGACAUUGACGCUGAGGCGCGAAAGCGUGGGGAGCAACCAGG